GGACCAGACUCCUACGGGAGGCAGCAGUGAGGAAUAUUGGUCAAUGGGCGCGAGCCUGAACCAGCCAAGUCGCGUGAGGGAAGACGGUCCUAUGGAUUGUAAACCUCUUUUGUCGGGGAGCAAAAGACGCCACGCGUGGCGUUCCGAGAGUACCCGGAGAAAAAGCAUCGGCUAACUCCGUGCCAGCAGCCGCGGUAAUACGGAGGAUGCGAGCGUUAUCCGGAUUUAUUGGGUUUAAAGGGUGCGUAGGCGGGACGCCAAGUCCGCGGUAAAAAUGCGGUGCUCAACGCCGUCGAGCCGUUGAAACUGGCGUUCUUGAGUGGGCGAGAAGUAUGCGGAAUGCGUGGUGUAGCGGUGAAAUGCAUAGAUAUCACGCAGAACUCCGAUUGCGAAGGCAGCAUACCGGCGCCCUACUGACGCUGAGGCACGAAAGCAUGGGUAUCGAACAGGAUUAGAUACCCGUGUAA
Molecule: ribosomal RNA, 467 nt
Filed under: uncultured bacterium
Lineage: Bacteria
Description: bacterial SSU rRNA
Rfam family: Bacterial small subunit ribosomal RNA
Source: RNAcentral